AAAUUGAAGAGUUUGAUCAUGGCUCAGAUUGAACGCUGGCGGCAGGCCUAACACAUGCAAGUCGAACGGUAACAGGAAGCAGCUUGCUGCUUCGCUGACGAGUGGCGGACGGGUGAGUAAUGUCUGGGAAACUGCCUGAUGGAGGGGGAUAACUACUGGAAACGGUGGCUAAUACCGCAUAACGUCGCAAGACCAAAGAGGGGGACCUUCGGGCCUCUUGCCAUCAGAUGUGCCCAGAUGGGAUUAGCUGGUUGGUGAGGUAACGGC
This 267-nucleotide ribosomal RNA is filed under the name Salmonella enterica subsp. enterica serovar Senftenberg. Its description in RNAcentral is "partial 16S ribosomal RNA". It matches the Rfam family "Bacterial small subunit ribosomal RNA", at positions 1 to 264 of the family's 1533-position model. The record is from RNAcentral. Lineage: Bacteria; Pseudomonadati; Pseudomonadota; Gammaproteobacteria; Enterobacterales; Enterobacteriaceae. RNAcentral also lists the same sequence under 1 other name.